CUAAUUGUGUUGUACGGCAGUGAGACUGUGGGGGAUAAGCUUCAUAGUCGAGAGGGAAACAGCCCAGAUCGCCGGUUAAGGCCCCUAAGGGUGUACUAAGUGGAAAAGGAUGUGGGAUCGCGAAGACAGCCAGGAGGUUGGCUUAGAAGCAGCCAUCCUUGAAAGAGUGCGUAAUAGCUCACUGGUCGAGUGGUUCUGCGCCGACAAUUCAGUGGGGCUCAAGUACACCGCCGAAGCCGCGGCAACUUUUUAAGUUGGGUAGGGGAGCGUCGUGCAUGGGUUGAAGCGUUACCGUAAGGAGGCGUGGACUGUGUGCGAGUGAGAAUGCAGGCAUGAGUAACGAAUUGAUAGGUGAGAAUCCUAUCCGCCGGAUGACUAAGGGUUCCUGGGUCAAGUUCGUCUUCCCAGGGUGAGUCGGGACCUAAGGCGAGGCCGACAGGCGUAGUCGAUGGAUAACCAGUUGAUAUUCUGGUACCCGUACAUGCGCGCCCAUGAUAAAGCACUGAUACUAACCACCGCGGAUGCACUGCUAGUCUUCUUUGAAGAUUGGUGGUGUUGAUGUCGUGGGGCCUGAUGUGUGGUUCAAGUGAUGGGGUGACGCAGUGAGGUAGCCACGCCACUUAUUGGAUUGGUGGUGUAAGCGUGUAGAUCGUGUGGUAGGCAAAUCCGCCACACAUUGUGGUUGAGACGUGAUGCGUAGACCCUAUGGGGUUGAUGGUGGUGAUCCUGUACUGUCGAGAAAAGCCUCUAGCGAUGUGUGUGUAUGGCCCGUACCCUAAACCGACACAGGUAGUCAGGUUGAAAAUACUAAGGCGUUCGGGUGAACUGUGGUUAAGGAAUUCGGCAAAAUGCCCCCGUAACUUCGGGAGAAGGGGGGCCCCACGGUGUGAGCAUCCUUGCGGUGUUAAGCGUUGUGGGGUCGCAGAGAAUAGAGGGAAGCGACUGUUUAUCAAAAACACAGGUCCAUGCGAAGACGUUAAGUUGAUGUAUAUGGACUGACGCCUGCCCGGUGCUGGAAGGUUAAGAGGACCGGUUAGUCAACUUUGUUGGCGAAGCUGAGAAUUUAAGCCCCAGUAAACGGCGGUGGUAACUAUAACCAUCCUAAGGUAGCGAAAUUCCUUGUCGGGUAAGUUCCGACCUGCACGAAUGGCGUAACGACUUCUCUGCUGUCUCAACCACAGGCCCGGUGAAAUUGCACUACGAGUAAAGAUGCUCGUUACGCGCGGCAGGACGAAAAGACCCCGGGACCUUCACUAUAGCUUGGUAUUGGUGUUUGGUUCGGUUUGUGUAGGAUAGGUGGGAGACUAUGAAGCCGUCACGCUAGUGGUGGUGGAGUCGUUGUUGAAAUACCACUCUGAUCGGAUUGAGCAUCUAACCUUGGCCCAUGAUCUGGGUUGGGGACAGUGCCUGGUGGGUAGUUUAACUGGGGCGGUUGCCUCCCAAAAUGUAACGGAGGCGCCCAAAGGUUCCCUCAGCCUGGUUGGCAAUCAGGUGGUGAGUGUAAGUGCACAAGGGAGCUUGACUGUGAGACAGACAUGUCGAGCAGGGACGAAAGUCGGGACUAGUGAUCCGGCACCUACUUGUGGAUGUGGUGUCGCUCAACGGAUAAAAGGUACCCCGGGGAUAACAGGCUGAUCUUCCCCAAGAGUCCAUAUCGACGGGAUGGUUUGGCACCUCGAUGUCGGCUCGUCGCAUCCUGGGGCUGGAGUAGGUCCCAAGGGUUGGGCUGUUCGCCCAUUAAAGCGGCACGCGAGCUGGGUUCAGAACGUCGUGAGACAGUUCGGUCUCUAUCCGCCGCGCGCGUUGAAACUUGAAGAAAGCUGUCCCUAGUACGAGAGGACCGGGACGGACGUACCUCUAGUGUGCCAGUUAUCCCGCCAGGGGUAUCGCUGGUUGGCUACGUACGGAAGGGAUAACCGCUGAAAGCAUCUAAGCGGGAAGCCUGUUUUAAGAUGAGGUUUCGUUAAGGUCCCCUAAAGACGAUAGGGUAGAUAGGCCAGACCUGGAAGCACUGUAAGGUGUGAAGGCUACUGGUACUAAUUGACCACAACAAACACCAA
This 2060-nucleotide ribosomal RNA is filed under the name Corynebacterium tuberculostearicum. Its description in RNAcentral is "partial 23S ribosomal RNA". It matches the Rfam family "Bacterial large subunit ribosomal RNA", at positions 964 to 2925 of the family's 2925-position model. The record is from RNAcentral. Lineage: Bacteria; Bacillati; Actinomycetota; Actinomycetes; Mycobacteriales; Corynebacteriaceae.